AGCACAUUCUAGUCUAAAAGGCAGAGGAAAAACUAGAAAAAUACUAGAAACAAAUACUAUAACAUGCAUAUAGUAUAUGAAGAGAUAGAAUACACACAGAGAGAUGCAAGACUACAACUCUAAUUACCUUAGGAGGCUGAGGCAGGAAGAUCACAGGUUUGAGGCCAGGUGGCAGAACACUGUUUUUCAAACAAAAGCAAGCGAGCAAGCUCAGUCAAUACAGUGCUUACCAGACAGAGGUGAAGAUCUGAGUUGAACUCCCAGGAUUCCCGUGAGAGGCUGGGUGUGGUGGAGUACUGGCGGGGAUGGGGAUGGGGGCAGUGACAGGAGAGCCUCUGCACCUGUUGGCCAGCCAGCUUAACCUUAUUAACAAGGAGGCUCUCCUCGGGUCUCUCAGGAUCCUAAGGACACCAGAGUUUGACAUGUAUGCACACACAUGUGCACUCAGUGUAGCAUGAAUAUGCACAUAUACAAAACAAGUUACAAAAAAAAAAAAGAGAUUUAUCUUUUUAAUUUAUGGGUUUGCUUGUGAGUUUAUGUGCAGCACGUACAUACAAGAGGCCAGAAGAGGGCAUCAGAUCCCCUGGAACCUGAGUUACAAGUGGUUGUGAACAGCUUCAUAUGGGAACUAGAGAUACACUCAUCUGAAAGAGCAAUAAACAUGCUUAAUCAGACCCCAAGUCAAAAAAAAAAAUUUUUUUUAAAGAAAAAGAUCCAGAACCUGGCAUGGUGGCACAUGACUUUAAUCCCUUGAAAAGCAGAGACAGGUGAUCUCUGUGAGUUCAAAGCCAGCCAGAUCUGCUUCGUGAGUGCCAAGUAGCCAGGGCUAAAUAGUGAGACCCUGUCUCAAAAACAAACAAAACUAAAUAAACAUCAACAAUGCUAAAACAAGGGCAGUGGUGGCCCACGCCUUUAAUCUCAGCCCUUGGGAGGCAGAGGCAGGCAAAUUUCUGAGUUCAAGGCCAACCUGAUCUACAGAAUGAGUUCAAGACAGCCAGGGCUACACAGAGAAACCCUGUCUCAUGAGAAGAAAAAAAAAACAACUAAAACAAAGCUAAAAAUGAUGCUAAAUAAAAUGUUAACAAUGUUAAAGUGGUAAGAAGCAUAAAGCAAGGAAACUAGAGGUCAAAUAGGGUUAUUUACGCAGCUGGGAGACAGAAGCCUCGUGGAGACCUGAUGGGGAAAGAGACAAGGAUGGCCAGCGUGUCAAAGCAGAGCCCAUCUCAGUGUGUCUACGGAACAAGCAUCGAGGAGCCCAGUGUGGCUAGAGAACCCGUGCAAGACCUUAGACUUUUAUUCUGACUGGAAAGGGAAGCUAUCAAGUUUUGGGGUUUGGUUUGGUUUUAGAUUUAUGUGCACGAGUGUUUUGUCUCCAUGUAUGUCUGUGUGUCACAUACAUGGUAUAGUGCCUGUGAGGCCAGAGUGCCAUGUAUGUAUGUGUGCCACAUACAUGGUAUAGUGCCUGCGAGGCCAGCCUAGGGCACUGGAUUGUCUACAGCUGGAGUGACAGAGUGUUGG
This 1518-nucleotide long non-coding RNA is filed under the name Mus musculus (house mouse). Its description in RNAcentral is "long non-coding RNA chr6:83074598-83076116". The record is from RNAcentral. Lineage: Eukaryota; Metazoa; Chordata; Mammalia; Rodentia; Muridae.